AACCAAAUUCGUAGAUAGCUGGUUUUCCGCGAAAACUAUUUAGGUAGUGCGUUGAGUAAAUUGAUGUUUGGAGGUAGAGCACUAAAGGGGCUAGGGGAGAGAAAUCUUUACCAACCCUCAUAAAACUCCGAAUGCCAAACAUUUUACCUCAGCAGACAGACUGUGGGUGCUAAGGUCCAUGGUCGAAAGGGAAAAAGCCCAGAUCACCAGAUAAGGUCCCUAAAUCAUGAUUAAGUGUGAAAGGAUGUGGAGAUUCCUAAACAGCCGGGAGGUUGGCUUAGAAGCAGCCAUCCUUUAAAGAUAGCGUAACAGCUCACCGGUCUAAUAGAGUUUCUGCGCCAAAGAUGUAACGGGGCUCAAAUCAUAUACCGAAUCUGUGGAUUUAUAAUUUCUUCGGAAAUUAUAUCUGGUAGCGGAACGUUCUGUAAGCCUGUAAAGGGAUACCCGUGAGGGAUCCUGGAGGUAUCAGAAGUGCGAAUGCUGACAUAAGUAACGAUAAAAGAAGUGAAAAACUUCUUCGCCGAAAAUCCAAGGGUUUCUGCGCAAGGUUAAUCCGCGCAGAGUUAGUCGGCACCUAAGGCGAGGGCGAAAGCCGUAGUCGAUGGAAAUAAGGUUAAUAUUCCUUAACCAGAUGGUAGUGACGGAUCUUGUAAGUUGUGAGUUCUUAAUGGAUUGAGCUUGCCGCGAAAAGGUUCCAAGAAAUAGCUCCAUCAUUAGACCGUACCCUAAACCGACACAGGUGGAUUAAUAGAGUAUAUUUAGGCGCUUGAGAGAAUGAUGUUGAAGGAACUCGGCAAAAUGCUUCCGUAACUUCGGAAUAAGGAAGACCUGUUUUUAGGCAACUAGAGAUGGGUGGCACAAGCCAGGGAGAAGCGACUGUUUAUCAAAAACACAGGGCUCUGCUAACACGUAAGUGGAUGUAUAGGGUCUGACGCCUGCCCGGUGCUGGAAGGUUAAUGCGAUGGGUGCAAGCUCAUUUCUGAAGCCCCAGUAAACGGCGGCCGUAACUAUAACGGUCCUAAGGUAGCGAAAUUCCUUGUCGGGUAAGUUCCGACCUGCAUGAAUGGCGUAACGAUUUCUCCGCUGUCUCCAACAUCAACUCAGUGAAAUUGAAUUCUCCGUGAAGAUGCGGAGUUCCCGUGGUUAGACGGAAAGACCCCGUGCACCUUUACUACAACUUUAUAUUGGUGUUAGGAAUGAUAUGUUUAGCAUAGGAGGGAGACUUUGAUGUUUUGGCGUCAGCUAAAGCGGAGUCACCAGUGAAAUACCUCUCUUAUUAUUCUUGACAUCUAACUGCAUGCCGUAAUCCGGCUGCAAGACAUUGUAUGGUGGGUAGUUUGACUGGGGCGGUCGCCUCCCAAAAAGUAACGGAGGCGUGCGAAGGUAGGCUCAGAACGGUCAGAAAUCGUUCGUAGAGUGCAAUGGCAUAAGCCUGCCUGACUGCGAGACUGACAAGUCGAGCAGAGUCGAAAGACGGUCAUAGUGAUCCGGUGGUUCUGAGUGGAAGGGCCAUCGCUCAACGGAUAAAA
Molecule: ribosomal RNA, 1529 nt
Filed under: marine sediment metagenome
Description: bacterial LSU rRNA
Rfam family: Bacterial large subunit ribosomal RNA
Source: RNAcentral